Molecule: transfer RNA, 67 nt
Filed under: Trimeresurus sichuanensis (Sichuan pitviper)
Lineage: Eukaryota; Metazoa; Chordata; Lepidosauria; Squamata; Viperidae
Description: tRNA-Thr
Source: RNAcentral
GCUCUAAUAGCUUAAUAAUUAUAAAGCCUUGUCCUUGUAAGCCAAAGCCGGGAAUUCCCUUAGAGUA